Molecule: non-coding RNA, 51 nt
Organism: Cricetulus griseus (Chinese hamster)
Lineage: Eukaryota; Metazoa; Chordata; Mammalia; Rodentia; Cricetidae
Source: Rfam
GGGAAACAAUCAGGGGGGCCACCUCAGGCCCCGAGACAAAUUUAUGGGGUG